AUAUAGGCUGAAUGGGUGUUUAUCCUGGAGUGAGAGUUAAUUUAGUAAGGCAUGGGGUGUGUGUGUGUGUGUGUGUGUGUGUGUGUGUGUGUGUGUGUGUGUAUGGGGAUGGGGGAAACGGGACAGAGAAACAGGUCUCUGGCAUUGACCUCUUUCACAGUGUAAAUAUAACCCCAAAGGUCAAAACCACCCCCUAUAUUGACUUUAGCUCCACUCUGAUUAUUUACUGAAUUGCUACAAAAUGAAAUCAUCGGGAAAGGAAGAGGCCUUCUCAGAAGAGUCUUCCUCAACCAGCACAGGAUGAAGUUCAGCAGGAAGCUGCUCAGGCUUCAAGGUUCUGCCUGCAACAGGAGGAAAGAGAGCUUUGAGUUUUUGCUGCUCUGGUGUGUGAAGGGUCUUCCCUUAGAACUUAUCCAUGAUAACCCAUUUAAAGUAGAAUGCUGCAAUGGAAGAAAGGACACGUCAAAAAGCAUCUCUAGAGGAAUAAAGAAUACAGGGAGUAACUGGAUUUGGAGAAGAGGGCCUGGUUCAGAUACGGUUCAGUCUCUUCACAGCAGAUCUGAGUUGAAGAGUUUUGCUGGGAUGCAAUGUCAAGGAAUAAGAUCUCUUUAAAUCUUCAAGACCCAGAAGUUAUAAGGCUGAAGCCUGUACAGAGAAGAAUUCUGGUGAGGAAUGAGGAUCCCAGUGGAUACUUAUCAGGAACAAUCUCCAGAAGUCAGGUGCGGAUAGUCCGUUAUCUUCGGCUUUCUUCCUUCCAAUGGGAGAGUUAUUCUGUUGCCUUUGGCCCAAUCUAGGGCAAGUGGAGGGGGUUUGAUUCCCCAUGUUAACCCUUCUCUCUCUCCUUUAUCCUCUCCCUCCUUCUCUCCCUCCCUCUCUUCUUCCAUCUCUCCUCUUCUCUUUGCUUCCCCUUCUUUUUCUCUCCCUCUCCUCUCCUUCCUUUUUCUCCCUAUCUAUAAAAUGACCUUCUUCAGCUAGAGAAUAAGGACACAUGCCUAACCCCAAGGAAUAGUGCAGACCUGCUGAAGCUUGAGGAAAGAACAUUGUUG
RNAcentral lists this long non-coding RNA (1046 nucleotides) under Phascolarctos cinereus (koala). RNAcentral's name for it is "lncRNA (ENSPCIG00000031749.1)". The record is from RNAcentral. Lineage: Eukaryota; Metazoa; Chordata; Mammalia; Diprotodontia; Phascolarctidae.